GGGAAAGGUGAAAAGCACCCCGACGAGGGGAGUGAAAGAGACCCUGAAACCGAAUGCUUACAAUCAGUCGGAGCCCGCAAGGGUGACUGCGUACCUUUUGUAUAAUGGGUCAGCGAGUUGGUCUUACGAGCAAGCUUAAGCCGAUGAGGUGUAGGCGCAGCGAAAGCGAGUCUGAACAGGGCGUUCAGUUCGUGGGAUCAGACCCGAAACCGGGUGAUCUAGCCAUGGGCAGGCUGAAGGUGGGGUAACACCCACUGGAGGGCCGAACCCACGUUCGUUGAAAAGAACGGGGAUGACCUGUGGUUAGGGGUGAAAGGCCAAUCAAACCCGGAGAUAGCUGGUUCUCCGCGAAAACUAUUUAGGUAGUGCGUCGGAUGGUGGCUCUCGGGGGUAGAGCACUGGAUGGGCUAGGGGGG
This 416-nucleotide ribosomal RNA is filed under the name uncultured Symbiodinium. Its description in RNAcentral is "partial Bacterial large subunit ribosomal RNA". It matches the Rfam family "Bacterial large subunit ribosomal RNA", at positions 507 to 927 of the family's 2925-position model. Lineage: Eukaryota; Dinophyceae; Suessiales; Symbiodiniaceae. The record is from RNAcentral.